GAUCCUGGCUCAGGAUGAACGCUAGCGACAGGCCUAACACAUGCAAGUCGAGGGGCAACAUGGUAUCAGCUUGCUGAUACCGAUGGCGACCGGCGCACGGGUGAGUAACGCGUAUCCAACCUUCCCGUUACUCUGGAAUAGCCUUUCGAAAGAAAGAUUAAUACCGGAUAGUAUCGAGAGAUUGCAUGAUUACCCGAUUAAAGAUUCAUCGGUAACGGAUGGGGAUGCGUUCCAUUAGG
This 239-nucleotide ribosomal RNA is filed under the name uncultured bacterium. RNAcentral's name for it is "partial 16S ribosomal RNA". It matches the Rfam family "Bacterial small subunit ribosomal RNA", at positions 15 to 245 of the family's 1533-position model. The record is from RNAcentral.